Molecule: unclassified non-coding RNA, 210 nt
Filed under: uncultured cyanobacterium
Lineage: Bacteria; Bacillati; Cyanobacteriota
Description: partial 16S-23S ribosomal RNA intergenic spacer
Source: RNAcentral
CGGUUCGAGUCCGCUAACCUCCACUGAUCAAACUCCUUUAACAAAAAAUCAAAGGAGAUUUCUUUGUUUCUGUGACUUUAGACUUUAGUUUCUCUGGAAGAACCUAGCUUCCUAUCAUUCUUCAUUCUCUAAGUAUCAAACUCUUAGUUUUUAGGUUGAUAAGGACGCUGGGCUCACUGCAAGUCUAAUGAAUUGCAGAGAUGUUCAGUA